Molecule: long non-coding RNA, 5033 nt
Organism: Mus musculus (house mouse)
Lineage: Eukaryota; Metazoa; Chordata; Mammalia; Rodentia; Muridae
Product: predicted gene, 39170
Exons: 3
Source: RefSeq, a predicted model, not a curated record
GGAUGUGUGUGUGUGUGUUUUGUAUGUAUAUACUUGUGUUUAUAUGCAUGUGUGCAUGUGUUUUGUAUGCAAUUGUAUAUUUGUGUGUAUGUGUGAUGCGUAUAUGCAUAUGCAUGUGUCUUUUGUAUGUAUGUGUGUACAUGUGUUUGUGCGUGUAUGUAUGUUUUCAUGUAUGUGUGUAUGUGUGUCUAUGUAGGCUUUUGUGUGUGUGUGUGUGUGUGUAUAUAGUGCAUGAGUUUGUGUGCAUGUGUGUGUUCAUGCAUGUGUUCAUGCAUGUGUGCAAAUGUAUGUGCAUGCAUGUAUGUGUGUGUACAGUAGAUGCAUGAAGCAUACAGAACAAUGGAAUUAGGGUCCUACAAUUAACUUUAUUUAAAUCAAAGCCCCUUUCACUGCAGUGUACCAAAGCUCCUUCCUCCUUUUGCUGUCACCCCUAACAGAACAGCAGCAGGAAGCUGGCUAGGACUAUAAACAAUGGCCCAGCUCAGGUAUCCAUUGCUUCUGUCCUUUUGUUCUCCCAGGAGUAUUCUUUCUCUCUGUUCUCUUCCUCACAAAGCCCGGCUUAGUUAUCCAAGCUACUCAGACAGGUGGAGUGCCUGCUCAGCACAGACUGCUGUCUGGUUCUGGCAGGGGCAGGGAGGACGCAAUGGAGACAAGGAUCAGGUCUGUAAGAAGUCUAGAGGGCGGCAGGCCAGCAAAUAACCACCUUGGGUGAGAACAGAAGACAGAGAACACGGAAAAGGAAAAAGCAAGGGACAAAAUCAAAGGGACAUCCAAGCUGGGGGUGACAAGUACUCUUUUCCAACUAGAAAACCAAAGGCUUCAAUAAGGUAGGACUAGAAGAGAUGAAGCUGAGUGAGUUCUGGGCACUGCUCAGACGGCCCUGUUUCCUAGAGCCCUUCCUGAGCCCGACCCACAGAUUCAUUUGACCUAAGCAUUUCUCACACCCUGCAAAUGGAGCUCAGCCCAAAACUGCAUGAGCUUGUAGCACAUCCCGAUUUUCUGCCUCGGUUUCUGGUUAACUCUAUGUGGCUUUUCUUGACCUUUCAUUUGUAUGUACAGCAUCUCUCGAGAGCUGAGAGAUACUCUAAGCCCUUCCUGGACUCCAUCAUGGCCCAUGCUCAUGGCUGGCACCAGCAAAGAAGCUCAACCGACUUCUUUAUCGACAGAUAUUUAGUGAAGGGAUCCAGACUCCAGACUCGGCAGCUGCAAGGAGUCUUUCAGGAGUUCAGAACAACUUGCAAAUAUGGGGCACGCCAAUCAAUGCUUUCUAGCAAAUGUCAAGACUUACAGCGAGUGGGCUCACUUAAAUUGUCCAAAAUGAUAAAGACCCAAGAGGCUAUAUUGCUAUGACGAGUUAGGGUUAAAAACAUUCUUAAUGGAUGAGAAAAUUCUGUCUUGUUGCUGCUUUUGCUUGGUACUAGUGACACAGCCAAGUGCAUUUCUGUAAACUCAUGGGAGAAUCGUGGGGCUGGGCAUCUAACUCAGUGGUAAAAUGUUGAAUUGUACACCUAAAAGGAAUUAAUUUUGUCUUCUGUUUCAUUUAAUGUACAUGACUUGAGAGUAAACGCAGACAAGUAGCUCUGCUUAAAUUAUUAGUGGCUCCUGAACACUUGCUACUAGGACAGACUGCUAAGUGUCUGCCUUCUGGGGCUAAGAACUAGAUAGUCUAUACAAUUAUCAUCUCUAAGGCCAAACUUCCCACAUAGGUCUGUGCUAUUUUGGGAGGAAGGUGAGGUCCUCCAUCCACUCAAGGAUGAGAGCCCUCUGGAGACGUCCCAACUCUCAACUGCAGGCCCUCCAUAGAAACAGGGGAACCCCCACAUCUGAGAAGCUCUGUGGGUGUGUGUAGGUGCUAUCAGUCAUCUGCUUCUUUCCAUGGCACCUCUAGGUGCUAGAUAAUGAGUAACUAGUGCUAGAUAAUGACUGAAAAACAGCAAUAAAAUCCGACUUUUGGAGCACAACCUCUGAAAAGCCUCCCAACCCAACCCUAUAAGGAAAACACACAGCAGUUAUGACCCUUACUUUAGACAGUGUGUGUGUGUGUGUGUGUGUGUGUGUGUGUAUGUGUAUAUAUAUAUAUAUACAUAUAUAUUAUCAAGCAAAGGCCAUCGGCUAGAACAUGACAGGAUUUAAGAACAGCCUUACUUUGGCUCCAAAUUUCAAGUCUUUUGUGGCAAGGACUCCCUACAUAAAAGCAGCCCAGAUAGUUCAAACUGAGCUCUUCUUACUAAGCCCUCUUGAGACAAAACCUUUCAAAUCUCACCUUAAUGAAUCUUGGACUCAUGGCCAACAGUGAAAUUUCUUCUCAAUGGCUUCCUGUUUGGUGCCAGAAAUUGUCCACUGGGUCAGCAAGCAAGACAUCCACCAAGCUUGUCCAACCGAGUAAGGUCAGUCCCUCAUGCAAGGUCACCCUCCGGGAAUGUAACCUUAUCAGAGUCUAGUUGCUAAGGAUCCCAACAGUAUUAUUAUUCAUAGCCAGUUAGCGAUGGCCAGACCGGUUUGAUUGCUUAAAAGGUCAUUCUUGCUUUAUUAAGAAUUGUUGAGUUGGUGUAAGGCCCCGUCUGAGAAAGCAGCUCUCAGGCUUCAGAUGAACUGCCUUAAAGCAGAGACUAUUGGAACCAGAAAGGCCCUUGAGGGGAACUGCUCCCAUCAUUUUACAGUGUAAAAGGCUGAAAGGCUGGGGUGAGGUAAAUUGCCAGGGUUACCAGGUAGCUACAGGGCCACGCGAUGAACUUACUGACUGUGCAUGCAAAAACCAGACGAUCCACAUCACACUAUAAGAAAAACUGUAUUAGAAAGUUUGAGGGCUAAAACUGCUAAUACUGGCCCCGCUGCUCUGACACAGCCUACAGGGAGAAACUUCUCCUACUCAGAUGCAUGUUAAUUUGAUUUUGAAAAUGCAAUCAUCCUAUAUCCCCUCCAAACAGAGAGUGAUCAACUGCCUGUUUUAUUUGAUCCUCACAACUCCAUGGAGUAAGUGGAAUCUCUAGCCUCACCUUCAUUUUCUAGAACACUGUACCUUUCCAUUUUACAGAUAAUAAAGUAUGCGCUGCUUCCGACUCACAUAUACACUGUGUGGUGGUUUAAAUAACGAUGGACCCCAUAGGCUCAUAGGGCACUCUUAGGAGGCAUGGCCUUCUUGAGGCAGGUGUAGUUAUUGGAGGACGUGUCACUAGGGGCUGGGGGCUUUUCAGAAGCUCAAGGCAGGCCUAGUGGCUCACAGACUUCUGCUGCCUGCUGAUCCAGAUGUAGAACUCUCAGCUCCCUCUCCAGCAGCAUGCCUUCCUGCAUGCCACCAUGCUUCCUAUGCCAUGACGACAAUGGACUGAAUGUCUGAACUGUAAGCCAGCCCCAACUAUUUGCCAUUUGUUUCUUGUCUCUUCACAGCGAUAGCACCCCUAAGGCACACUGAGUCUCAGAUUUUAAGGAGUAUGAAUCAAAAACUGUAAAAGUAGGUCUAGAAUCCAAGCCGUUGAAGUGUUAAUCUAGGGCCCCAUCUCUAUCAAAUACAGCAAUCAUUCUUUGUAAAAUGUGGCCACUACUAGGUUGGGAGAGAAAGAGUCACACCGUGGUUAGGAACAUAAGGCCAGGGCUGAGUUCUAACCUGGGUCAGCUGUCUGGGGUAGCUAGCAUCAGGGCUAUUAUCUGGCUUAUGGUAGCAUUAGGCUACUCCUACCUCAAGUAGUUGAGGCAGGUGUAAGAAGAAGCAACAGUUUAGCUGGUACAGAGGGGACUCGUCAACCAGAGGGCACAGAGCAUCACAUGCUAUUGCAUAGAGCAGAGCACACGGGCCUCCUAGUAAAACUCUGCAGGGUUAGUCAGCGGCUCAGGGGUGCUAGGCUAGCAGGAAGGGAGAGUCUAGGUGUGGUGCUUAGUCCUAAGUUCUCCCACCAACCUCCUUCUCUACAGCUUGCCACACACUGUUGGACUAUUCAGGCCCGUUCAAGCUCAAACACAGGUCUGCACAUGAUAGGCCAACCUGAUAGGCCAGGACAGGUGAUGGCAGACAUGAAGGAGACUCCAGUGUGCUUUGCAUUGGAGGCAAUGGUAACAUGGUACUAGGGGCAGUUUCAAAAGAAGGAAAAAGAUCGCCAUGUGACUGAGAACAAGCAGGAAUUGGGGAGAAUGGAAGCAGAGUCAGGUGGGAAGCAAAGUCUGACUGUAAACAGUGUCAGAAACGGAAGAAGACAGAGAGGGCCCAAGGAUGAGGGCGGAGCACCUGAUGGUUAAUUAUCAACAGGUGGAGGUGAACGGGAAUGAGAGGAGGAGAGACAACCUCAUGGAAAAACGCCAGCCUUCUAAUAAAAAACCUUCGUAACUCUGGAAAAACAGCAGCCAAGCCCCACCACUUAUGGGUCCUGAUUAGCAGAUGGCGACUGUCCCACCUGUGUGACCCAGACCUGGGGGCCCAAGCUGCCAAACAGAACAAACUGUAUUUUCCUUUUGUUUCCUGUUGAUUAACUUUUUUCUAGAUUUUGAGACUCAGCUUAAAACAAACAGAACAACAACAACAACAAAACACUACUUAAAGCUAAGGUUGUGUAAUUCAGUACUGGAGUGUUUGUCCAGCGUACACAAGGUCCUGGAUUCACUCCCCAGCAACUCAGAAAUAGAAGAAAAGGGAAAGAUUAAAAGGCUCCUGAAACCCAACCUUUGCUUUACAUAAAGCUGAUCAAAUUGGAAGAAGCUGCCAGAAAAGACAGGCCUUUAAGACUCAACCUUAUGCAAAAGGGCAAAGAAUGGUCAGAAAUCCUACAUACUGAAGACCACCAAGAUGACAAGAAGAAAAGAAAAAAAGGAGAAAGAAAAGGAGAAAGUAUCCCCAACGGCCAGAAGAGGAUCUCAGAUUCGCUGGAACUGGAGUUACAGGCAGUGUCUGUGAGCUGCCCAGCAUUCAUACUGGGAACCAAACUCUGAUCCACUAAAGAGCAGCUGGCACUCCUAACUGCUGACAGCCCCCAAAUCUCAAUUUGAAACAUCUUCCCAAUAAUUUGAAUAAAAUCCAACUUUCUUAUUUACCAUGAUCUACUUAA